RNAcentral lists this ribosomal RNA (394 nucleotides) under uncultured bacterium. Its description in RNAcentral is "partial 16S ribosomal RNA". It matches the Rfam family "Bacterial small subunit ribosomal RNA", at positions 523 to 918 of the family's 1533-position model. The record is from RNAcentral.
AUACGGAGGAUGCAAGCGUUAUCCGGAUUUAUUGGGUUUAAAGGGUGCGUAGGCGGAUGAUUAAGCGUGAGGUGAAAUGCCACUGCUCAACAGUGGAACUGCCUCGCGAACUGGUUGUCUUGAAUGCUCCUGCCGUGGGAGGAAUGUGUGGUGUAGCGGUGAAAUGCAUAGAGAUCACACAGAACACCGAUUACGAAGGCAUCUCACGAAGGGGUGAUUGACGCUGAGGCACGAAAGCGUGGGGAUCAAACAGGAUUAGAUACCCUGGUAGUCCACGCAGUAAACGAUGAUAACUAACCGCUGGGUCGUAGUGAUUCAGUGGCCAAGCGAAAGCGAUAAGUUAUCCACCUGGGGAGUACGACCGCAAGGUUGAAACUCAAAGGAAUUGACGGGG